ACAUUUCUACAUUUCUACAUUUCUACAUUUCUACAUUUCUACAUUUCUACAUUUCUACAUUUUAUAGAAAGAGUUCUACGUUAGCUUCAGAAAUGUUGGAUAACAAGCAAAAUUAACAAAGUGGCCAAUAUCUCAAAAACCAUGACACUUUGCAUAAAGUUCAUUACAUCCGUUCGCAAAUUAACCCGGAGUAUCUAUGUGAAUUCAUUCAAUACGAAUGAAAAUCACGCAAAUAAAAUUUGUCAGUAAAAAAGAAAAAUAUGCAAGUUUCACAAAUCCAUAUUUAUUUCAAAUAGCUCAAUUAAAAAGAUAAUGACAUAAAAAUAAUGUUUUUUAUGCAAGUCAAGAUAUAAUGCGUAACACAACGUAAUGUACUGUUAUCUUUAUCUCAACAGCACCGACGCGUUUCAACAUUGUCGAAUUAAGUUAUUAACUUGUCAAAACUUGAAGGAAAUAUAUUUUCUGACCGCGUAAAUUAACAUCACGUAUAACACUAUCGCGGAAAUAGUGUUAUAAUUUAUUGCGUAAAGAAGAAGCUUGCGUAAAGAAAGUGCCACUUAAUUUGAGGGAUGGGUGUAUAUUUCUUCCUCACUCAUUAUCGCUAACAAUGAGUCAAAGAUUCCUAGAAGAUUCGACGAAGCGAGAAACUACAUAAUUUUAAUUGAUAAUCGAUGAUGCAUCAUUGACUCGUUAAUACAAGAUUUGUAUUACUAUAAUUUGAAUUAUUUCAUAGUUGUAAAUCUGUUUUAAUUAAUUUAAAUGAAUUUUU
This 769-nucleotide unclassified non-coding RNA is filed under the name Megachile rotundata (alfalfa leafcutting bee). RNAcentral's name for it is "glycogen-binding subunit 76A, transcript variant X4". The record is from RNAcentral. Lineage: Eukaryota; Metazoa; Arthropoda; Insecta; Hymenoptera; Megachilidae.